CAGCUGUUUAAACUUUUUUCGCAACCUUUUCUCCACGUUACGCCCUCGCAAAUAGUCAAAAACGUUCUUAACAAAGCCUGCCGAAACACUUAAGUACAAGAGUGUUGUGCUUUCAAAGCAGUGAAUAAACUAAACGUUGGAAAAUUAAAAAAGAAACAGGGUAACCCAGUUCGAACGAGAGGACGUGGUGUUUGUUUAUCGUAACGGUACUGACAGGAGGCGUGACGAGGACGCUGAUCCAGUGGACCUGGUGCCAGUAAGGAUGGUCGUCACGGAGACGAUAAGACCGUCCAGGAUAGAGAAAUCCUUCGACUUCACUGCCUCUUCAAUGACAACACCACAUCCAAUGACUGUGAUCUGAGGACCCUUUUUUUAGCAGCGAGGGAGUAACGUGCUUGGCCCUAACUGCUGCGCCAAAUGUCUGGCCGUCAACCUCCCUCUCCUUAUGAUGUGCCAGUUGGGGUUUGGUACACUGUCCCAACUGUUGCCUGUUGUAUAGCAUCCUGCUGCUCCACCGACAUCGACAUGCUCCAGGUGCCUUUAAAAAAAGAAAUGUUUGGUACAGACAUGCCAUUCCACUGAACCUGCCCCAGAGAUGGUUCCCUAGCCACUGAAGAUCCUCCUCUGUGGGCUCUAGGGACAGAGACUUAGUCGUCUUCGGCCGGGUAAAGAUCCUCCACGGACUGCAUCUGGUUGGGCACAAGUGGCUUCCUCCACUCACAUUACACAUCCAUACAGCCGAUAUUGUGAACCGCAAAAGUAGCCAAUGCAGUUGCAUGGCUGCACUUGGGAGCUCCAUGGGAGUAUUCACAUGUGGUAGAGAGAAUCCCCUGGUCACCUAUAGAGACCUGCCAAGAGGAAAGUGCUAUAUGCAUGACUUUGAACACCUUGAAAUGCAUUUGUUGUAAGAAAUGUGCUAUAUUUAUUGAACAAAAAUGUAAACAAUCAUACAAUUUCAACGAUUCUGAGUUACAGCUCAAAUAUAAGGAAAUAAUUGCAUCAUUGCAAUUGAAAUAGUCAUUAGGCCCUUCCCACAUGACUGGGAAGGGGCGCAGCCUUGGGUGGGCAUAGGCCCAGCCAAUCAGAAUGAGUUUUUCCCCACAAAAGGGCAUUAUUACAGACAGAAAUACUCCCCAGUAUCAUCAGCUGCAGAAAAGCCAGCAAAUUCACAUGCAAUAAGUAAAUGUUCAUCUACUGACUGGUUUAUGCUACAGAGUGGACAGUGUUGUCCCCAGUGAUGCCAGUUUGAUUUUUUGAAGCUUAAUGUUUGAGAUUUCAUCCCAGCAUUUAGAAUGUGAGGUUCUGAGGCUUAUAAUUUUCAUGUUCAUGUUCAUGGUUUCAG
Oncorhynchus tshawytscha (Chinook salmon) is the source of this 1342-nucleotide long non-coding RNA. The record is from Ensembl. Lineage: Eukaryota; Metazoa; Chordata; Actinopteri; Salmoniformes; Salmonidae.